UACCAGCCCCCUGAGUGGUAAGGACGAUUAUUUGGCUUAAAGCGUCCGUAGCCGGCUUAGUGAGUCUCUUGUUAAAUCCAAUGAUUCAAUCAUUGAACUGCAAGAGAUACUACUAUGCUAGAGGACGGGAGAGGUCGACGGUAGUCCAAGGGUAGGGGUGAAAUCCUAUAAUCCUUGGAGGACCACCAGUGGCGAAGGCGGUCGACUAGAACGUGCCUGACGGUGAGGGACGAAAGCUGGGGGAGCGAACCGGAUUAGAUACCCGGGUAGUCCCAGCUGUAAACGAUGCGGGCUAGGUGUAGGGGCAGCUACGAGCUGCUCCUGUGCCGCAGAGAAAUUGUUAAGCCCGCCGCCUGGGGAGUACGAUCGCAAGAUUAGAAACUUAAAGGAAUUGGCGGGGGAGCACCACGAAGGGGUGAAGGCUGCGGUUU
Molecule: ribosomal RNA, 431 nt
Filed under: uncultured archaeon
Lineage: Archaea
Description: bacterial SSU rRNA
Rfam family: Archaeal small subunit ribosomal RNA
Source: RNAcentral